This 262-nucleotide ribosomal RNA is filed under the name uncultured Rikenellaceae bacterium. RNAcentral describes it as "partial 16S ribosomal RNA". It matches the Rfam family "Bacterial small subunit ribosomal RNA", at positions 1121 to 1382 of the family's 1533-position model. The record is from RNAcentral. Lineage: Bacteria; Pseudomonadati; Bacteroidota; Bacteroidia; Bacteroidales; Rikenellaceae.
GCGGGUCAUGCCGGGGACGUCUAGCGGAACUGCCAGCGUAAGCUGCGAGGAAGUGGGGAUGACGUCAAAUCAGCACGGCCCUUACGUCCAGGGCUACACACGUGUUACAAUGGCCAGUACAGAGGGCAGCCACCCCGCGAGGGGGCGCUAAUCCUAAAAGCUGGUCCCAGUUCGGAUCGGAGUCUGCAACCCGACUCCGUGAAGCUGGAUUCGCUAGUAAUCGCGCAUCAGCCACGGCGCGGUGAAUACGUUCCCGGGCCUU